RNAcentral lists this ribosomal RNA (466 nucleotides) under Vreelandella stevensii. Its description in RNAcentral is "partial 16S ribosomal RNA". It matches the Rfam family "Bacterial small subunit ribosomal RNA", at positions 338 to 795 of the family's 1533-position model. Lineage: Bacteria; Pseudomonadati; Pseudomonadota; Gammaproteobacteria; Oceanospirillales; Halomonadaceae. The record is from RNAcentral.
CCUACGGGUGUGCAGCAGUGGGGAAUAUUGGACAAUGGGCGAAAGCCUGAUCCAGCCAUGCCGCGUGUGUGAAGAAGGCCUUCGGGUUGUAAAGCACUUUCAGUGGGGAAGAAAGCCUUGGGGCUAAUACCCUCGAGGAAGGACAUCACCCACAGAAGAAGCACCGGCUAACUCCGUGCCAGCAGCCGCGGUAAUACGGAGGGUGCGAGCGUUAAUCGGAAUUACUGGGCGUAAAGCGCGCGUAGGCGGUCUGAUAAGCCGGUUGUGAAAGCCCCGGGCUCAACCUGGGAACGGCAUCCGGAACUGUCAGGCUAGAGUGCAGGAGAGGAAGGUAGAAUUCCCGGUGUAGCGGUGAAAUGCGUAGAGAUCGGGAGGAAUACCAGUGGCGAAGGCGGCCUUCUGGACUGACACUGACGCUGAGGUGCGAAAGCGUGGGUAGCAAACAGGAUUAGAUACCCGGGUAGUC